Molecule: ribosomal RNA, 483 nt
Filed under: uncultured Glomus
Lineage: Eukaryota; Fungi; Glomeromycota; Glomeromycetes; Glomerales; Glomeraceae
Description: SSU rRNA
Rfam family: Eukaryotic small subunit ribosomal RNA
Source: RNAcentral
GUUAAAAAGCUCGUAGUUGAAUUUCGGGACCAUCAUGUCGGUCGUGCCUCGGUACGUACUGGCAUUGUUGGUUUCUACCUUCUGACGAACCAUGAUGUCAUUUAUUUGGUGUCGUGGGAAAUCAGGACUGUUACUUUGAAAAAAUUAGAGUGUUUAAAGCAGGCUCACGCUUGAAUACAUUAGCAUGGAAUAAUGAAAUAGGACGUUUGAUUCUAUUUUGUUGGUUUCUAGGAUCGACGUAAUGAUUAAUAGGGAUAGUUGGGGGCAUUAGUAUUCAAUUGUCAGAGGUGAAAUUCUUGGAUUUAUUGAAGACUAACUACUGCGAAAGCAUUUGCCAAGGAUGUUUUCAUUAAUCAAGAACGAAAGUUAGGGGAUCGAAGACGAUCAGAUACCGUCGUAGUCUUAACCAUAAACUAUGCCGACUAGGGAUCGGAUGAUGUUAAUUUUUUAAUGACUCAUUCGGCGCCUUACGGGAAACCAAAG